This 676-nucleotide ribosomal RNA is filed under the name uncultured bacterium. RNAcentral's name for it is "bacterial SSU rRNA". It matches the Rfam family "Bacterial small subunit ribosomal RNA", at positions 8 to 694 of the family's 1533-position model. The record is from RNAcentral.
AGAGUUUGAUCCUGGCUCAGGACGAACGCUGGCGGUGUGCUUCACACAUGCAAGUCGAGCGGAUGAAGUAGGUAGCUUGCUACUUAUGGAUUUAGCGGCGGACGGGUGAGUAAUAUAUAGGAAUCUGCCCUAGAGCGGGGAACAACAGACCGAAAGGUUUGCUAAUGCCCCAUAGGUACGCAGUCUUCGGAUUGUUUAUUAAAGGAGUAAUCCACUCUAGGAUGAGCCUGUAUCCGAUUAGCUAGUUGGCGGGGUAAAGGCCCACCAAGGCUACGAUCGGUAGUUGGUCUGAGAGGAUGAUCAGCCACAAUGGGACUGAGACACGGCCCAUACUCCUACGGGAGGCAGCAGUGGGGAAUUUUACACAAUGGGGGAAACCCUGAUGUAGCGACACCGCGUGAACGAAGAAGCCUUUUGGGGUGUAAAGUUCUGUCGGCUGGAACGAAAAAAAUGACGGUACCAGCAAAGGAAGCAUCGGCUAACUACGUGCCAGCAGCCGCGGUAAGACGUAGGAUGCAAGCGUUGUCCGGAUUUAUUGGGCGUAAAGAGUUCGUAGGCGGUUAUUUAAGUCUGGUGUUAAAUACUGUGGCCCAACCACAGAACUGCAUUGGAUACUGGAUGACUUGAGUGCGGUAGAGGCGAGUGGAAUUCCCAGUGUAGCGGUGAAAUGCGUAGA